This is a long non-coding RNA of Oncorhynchus tshawytscha (Chinook salmon), 1675 nucleotides long. RefSeq lists it as uncharacterized. The transcript has 3 exons. NCBI's taxonomy places the organism in Eukaryota, Metazoa, Chordata, Actinopteri, Salmoniformes, Salmonidae. The record is from RefSeq and is a predicted model, not a curated record.
CUACAGUAAACUAUUGCUCUCGUGAGACGUCAACCAACGACCACGUUACCUAAGUUCGCAUGUCACAAAAUUUGGAUCUGAUGAACGCACGUCCCAAUGGAAAAAACUACAAUGGAAAAGCAUCCUAUGCAUCCAGUGUACUUGCCUAAGAGAAAAAGUUACCAGGCAGGACAAUUCAUUCGUUCAAGGCGACCUAUAUGCUGCUCCUUGAUCUGCGCGGUGAGGUAUGGGGGCUGUGCAGCUUUGUGAGCAAAAAGCCUUCAGCGCACGGAGGGCAAUAUAACGUGACGCAAGACUACUUUUUGGUUGAGUACCCAGUGAAUCAUCAAUUCAAUAAUUCCAAGUUGACUGUACAAACAUAACAGAAUUCAUAAACAUUUACCGGUCCGAAGCUUUGGUGAGGUGGCUAACUUGGAGCUUUCAUGUUCGUGAACUGCUGCUGUGCUGUGCUCCUGAUUGAGCUCUCACCUUAAGUAGCCUAGGGUCUAUACUUGGGUCUAGUGAUCUCUCGUGGACGUUUGGAGCCUUUCCAUACUGUAGAUGUCACAACCAACGCCUCGACCACGCAAAAUGGACCAUUCACACAGUUCAGUCACUCAGCCAUAUCCAGUGGACAUGAUGCUAUAAAGGUCCUGCACUACCACCUCCUACAACAUCCUGAUGAGAAGCAUUAACCCUAGCCCCAUGACUGAUACAUCAGAGGAAGUUGUCUUGCUGUUGGCACCAAUUCCAUCCUACUAAACUUUGUUCUCUCUUGUUCAACUGCCCAAUUGCCCAAUGUUUAAAUUUGCUUCAAAUAUGUUUUUUACUGAAGGGUGACAGAUGACACUUGUAUGGAGGGCUGUGGGUGUGGGGGAGAGAAUGGAUGUAGAUGGGUUUGGUUGAAGAAACUCCCUCUCCCCUACCUCCCUUCCUUCUCUUGAUAGGGAAUAAAAGUGAAUGUUAUUGCUGCAUUUUACCUGUGACCCCAAAUCAACUAUUUUAUGAGUCACAAGCUAAGACAAAAACACACAUAUAUAUAUAUAUAUAUAUAUAUAUUACUUUAUUUACACAUCUAUUCACUACUGGCCAAAUGCAGUCACCUAUCUCUUCAGACAGCAUUUCCAGUUUUUAGGACUGUUUAAAAAAUCUAAGGUAAACCACUUUAUAUUUGCCAUAAUAAUAAUAUUCGGGAAUCAAACCCACCCACCAGGCAUUACAAGCACCAUAAUCUACCAACUGAACAACAAUGGACCACUUUGGAUUAAGCUUAAAAAAUGUGAUAGACUGUAUUAUUAUGCUUAUGUGUUGGUACUGUAUGUACAAUGAGGAAUCGAAUAUUCUUCAAUCUGUCAUGGGUUGAAGUUACCACUAUUAACUAUUAAUCCUGUGCCAAGUCUCAUAUAUGGCUGAAUUGUAGUGUAUUUAAAGAAUAUGCCUUGUGUUGUACAAUUCUUAUACUCUAGAUGGCAGUAACGUGCUACCACCUUCAAAGAGGUCUGUAAGAGUUUUUCUAUUCGCCCUUCAAGUACUGAGCAAAUGUCCAAAUUAAUGAAUUCUCUGAAUUUGCAUUGCGAAUGUUGCUUUUAUUGAUACUAGAUAUGACUGGUUGUGAUCCAGUCCCAUAUGGAACAUGUGACAUGCAAAGUUCAAUUGGGUAAUGUCACACAUUUUUAGCAAAAAAAAAACGCUGUUU